GAGAAGAAAGCAUGUGAAGAAUACCUCUCUUUGCUUGACUGAUAUAAAUGAUCCAGUUAAAUCCCGAAGUACUUCUAUUAUGUCAUCGAAGAUCACUUUCCCAUUGCAGUCAGAAUCAUUUACUUUGAAGAUAACUGCAACAUAAAAACAGUUGAUAAUACCAGUGAGUAGGUGCGAAUACCAGUCCUAAAGCUGUUAAUAGCGUAAUCAAUGAUAAGGCAUUAGCACUGUCAGGACAUGUUACAGGAGCUGCAAUUAAACCAACUGGUAUAUGUGCAAAUAUGACUGUUACUGAUGCACUAAAACCCCAACUAGGGAUUAAGCUAUUGCAUCUGUGCAACUAAUGGAGAAAUCAGCAGGGCAGUCUAUCCUUCAUACAAAAUCUGCCAUCCCCCCUUCCCUCUAGUAGUUUGAAAAGCGUUACAAUACAACAAAGAGCCAUGCCUUUCACAUCGUUUUAUAUGUAAUAGAAUCAUGAGGUUGAAGUCCUCUCAAUCUCGUUAAAACUAACGUAAAAGUUACAUUUGCAUCUUUUCUU
This 538-nucleotide long non-coding RNA is filed under the name Nicotiana benthamiana. RNAcentral describes it as "long non-coding RNA (NBEN_LNC020304)". Lineage: Eukaryota; Viridiplantae; Streptophyta; Magnoliopsida; Solanales; Solanaceae. The record is from RNAcentral.